Molecule: long non-coding RNA, 397 nt
Organism: Cyprinodon tularosa
Lineage: Eukaryota; Metazoa; Chordata; Actinopteri; Cyprinodontiformes; Cyprinodontidae
Exons: 3
Source: RefSeq, a predicted model, not a curated record
ACAAAGAAGAAGAAGAGGACCCGGAUGUGAUACGUUAGUAUUCCCCCCCAUAGCCCCCCUACACACACACACACUAUCAAGAUUGCGUAGUUCUCCGUUUUAUGGUCUGCACCACUUUAUUCGUUGAUAGUGGAACAUAAAGGAAAAUGUUCGGAAAUAGAGCAGAAAAAACAUUAAGGUUUUAGUUUCUGCUACAUCGUCGCCGUGCUGGCCCUUUAAGAAAGCCGGAGAUCUAAGAGUGUCAAGUAGGGUAUUAUGUCAUGUUCAUCAAGCUCUGCACUGGUGGUGCAGCUCCAUCCAGUCCUAGUCCUCAGCAGAAGGGGAACUAUUUAAAUAUCCUGGAUUUUAACUGCUAAGAGCAAGAGCCUGACUCAAAGAAAUUCUGGAUUCUGGACAG